AAUGCACGAACUUGUAAGUCGCUCUGGAUAAGAGCGUCUGCUAAAUGACGUAAA
Salmo salar (Atlantic salmon) is the source of this 54-nucleotide non-coding RNA. The record is from Rfam. Lineage: Eukaryota; Metazoa; Chordata; Actinopteri; Salmoniformes; Salmonidae.